UACGUACUGCGCGAGCGUUAUUCGGAAUCACUGGGCGUAAAGGGUGCGUAGGCGGUUCAAUUAGUCAGGUGUGAAAUCCCACGGCCCAACCGUGGAACUGCACUUGAAACUGUUGAACUUGAGCAAUCUAGGGGUAAGCGGAACUUCCGGUGGAGCGGUGAAAUGUGUUGAGAUCGGAAGGAACACCAAGAGCGAAAGCA
This 200-nucleotide ribosomal RNA is filed under the name uncultured bacterium. RNAcentral's name for it is "partial 16S ribosomal RNA". It matches the Rfam family "Bacterial small subunit ribosomal RNA", at positions 524 to 723 of the family's 1533-position model. The record is from RNAcentral.